CCUACGGGAGGCAGCAGUCGGGAAUCUUGCACAAUGGGGGCAACCCUGACCCAGCCAUGCCGCGUGUGUGAAGAAGGCCUUAGGGUUGUAAAGCACUUUCAAUUGGGAGGAAAAGCUAAUGGUUAAUAGCCAUUACCCCUGACGUUACCUUUAGAAGAAGCACCGGCUAACUCCGUGCCUCCAGCCGCGUCAAUAACGGU
This 200-nucleotide ribosomal RNA is filed under the name uncultured Gammaproteobacteria bacterium. RNAcentral describes it as "partial 16S ribosomal RNA". It matches the Rfam family "Bacterial small subunit ribosomal RNA", at positions 338 to 529 of the family's 1533-position model. The record is from RNAcentral. Lineage: Bacteria; Pseudomonadati; Pseudomonadota; Gammaproteobacteria.